This 497-nucleotide ribosomal RNA is filed under the name uncultured bacterium. Its description in RNAcentral is "partial 16S ribosomal RNA". It matches the Rfam family "Bacterial small subunit ribosomal RNA", at positions 28 to 507 of the family's 1533-position model. The record is from RNAcentral.
GAUGAACGCUGGCGGCGUGCCUAAUACAUGCAGGUCGAGCGAACAGACGAGGAGCUUGCUCCUCUGACGUUAGCGGCGGACGGGUGAGUAACACGUGUAUAACCUACCUAUAAGACUGGUAUAACUUCGGGAAACCGGAGCUAAUACCGGAUAAUAUAUUGAACCGCAUGGUUCAAUAGUGAAAGACGGUUUUGCUGUCACUUAUAGCUGGAUCCGCGCCGCAUUAGCUAGUUGGUACGGUAACGGCUUACCAAGGCGACGAUGCGUAGCCGACCUGAGAGGGUGAUAGGCCACACUGGAACUGAGACACGGUCCAGAGUCCUACGGGAGGCAGCAGUAGGGAAUCUUCCGCAAUGGGCGAAAGCCUGACGGAGCAACGCCGCGUGAGUGAUGAAGGUCUUCGGAUCGUAAAACUCUGUUAUUAGGGAAGAACAAAUGUGUAAGUAACUAUGCACGUCUUGACGGUACCUAAUCAGAAAGCCACGGCUAACUACGUG